UGGGGAAUAUUGCACAAUGGGCGCAAGCCUGAUGCAGCCAUGCCGCGUGUGUGAAGAAGGCCUUCGGGUUGUAAAGCACUUUCAGCGAGGAGGAAGGUGGUGAACUUAAUACGUUCAUCAAUUGACGUUACUCGCAGAAGAAGCACCGGCUAACUCCGUGCCAGCAGCCGCGGUAAUACGGGGGGUGCAAGCGUUAAUCGGAAUUACUGGGCGUAAAGCGCACGCAGGCGGUUUGUUAAGUCAGAUGUGAAAUCCCCGGGCUCAACCUGGGAACUGCAUUUGAAACUGGCAAGCUAGAGUCUCGUAGAGGGGGGUAGAAUUCCAGGUGUAGCGGUGAAAUGCGUAGAGAUCUGGAGGAAUACCGGUGGCGAAGGCGGCCCCCCUGGACGAAGACUGACGCUCAGGUGCGAAAAGCGUGGGGAGCAAACAGGAUUAGAUACCCUGGUAGUCCACGCUGUAAAACGAUGUCGAUUUGGAGGUUGUGCCCUUGAGGCGUGGCUUCCGGAGCUAACGCGUUAAAUCGACCGCCU
This 530-nucleotide ribosomal RNA is filed under the name uncultured bacterium. RNAcentral's name for it is "partial 16S ribosomal RNA". It matches the Rfam family "Bacterial small subunit ribosomal RNA", at positions 355 to 874 of the family's 1533-position model. The record is from RNAcentral.